This 71-nucleotide transfer RNA is filed under the name Chaunax abei. RNAcentral describes it as "tRNA-Thr". It matches the Rfam family "tRNA". Rfam says of the family: Transfer RNA (tRNA) molecules are approximately 80 nucleotides in length. Their secondary structure includes four short double-helical elements and three loops (D, anti-codon, and T loops). RNAcentral also lists the same sequence under 1 other name. Lineage: Eukaryota; Metazoa; Chordata; Actinopteri; Lophiiformes; Chaunacidae. The record is from RNAcentral.
GCAUCAGUGGCCCAACCUAGAGCGCCAGUCUUGUAAGCUGGAGGUUGGAGGUUAGAGUCCUCCCUGCUGCU